This 497-nucleotide ribosomal RNA is filed under the name uncultured bacterium. Its description in RNAcentral is "partial 16S ribosomal RNA". It matches the Rfam family "Bacterial small subunit ribosomal RNA", at positions 28 to 507 of the family's 1533-position model. The record is from RNAcentral.
GACGAACGCUGGCGGUGUGCCUAAUACAUGCAAGUAGAACGCUGAAGAGAGGAGCUUGCUCUUCUUGGAUGAGUUGCGAACGGGUGAGUAACGCGUAGGUAACCUGCCUUGUAGCGGGGGAUAACUAUUGGAAACGAUAGCUAAUACCGCAUAACAAUAGGUGACACAUGUCAUUUAUUUGAAGGGGGCAAUUGCUCCACUACAAGAUGGACCUGCGUUGUAUUAGCUAGUAGGUGAGGUAACGGCUCACCUAGGCGACGAUACAUAGCCGACCUGAGAGGGGUGACGGCCACACUAGGACUUAGGCACGGCCCCGACCCCUACGGGAGGCAGCAGUAGGGAAGCUUCGGCAAUGGGGGCAACCCUGACCGAGCCACGCCGCGUGAGUGAAGAAGGUUUUCGGAUCGUAAAGCUCUGUUGUAAGUCAAGAACGAGUGUUAGAGUGGAAAGUUCACACUGUGACGGUAGCUUACCAGAAAGGGACGGCUAACUACGUG